RNAcentral lists this non-coding RNA (423 nucleotides) under Glossina brevipalpis. RNAcentral's name for it is "eukaryotic small subunit ribosomal RNA". It matches the Rfam family "Eukaryotic small subunit ribosomal RNA", at positions 45 to 467 of the family's 1831-position model. Lineage: Eukaryota; Metazoa; Arthropoda; Insecta; Diptera; Glossinidae. The record is from RNAcentral.
GAAACAUUGGAAGUUCUUGCUCACACGAAUUGAAAGUGAAACCGCAAAAGGCUCAUUAUAUCAGUUAUGGUUCCUUAGACCGUUAACAGUUACUUGGAUAAAUGCGAUAAUUCUAGAGCUAAUACUUGCAAUAUAAACACGAGUCAAUGGAACGUGUGCGUUUAUUAAGCUAAAGCCAAACGACGUUUUUGGUCGUAUAAUGGUUGAACUCUAGAUAACCUGCAGAUGGUAUGGUCUUGUACCGACGACAGAUCUUUCAAAUGUCUGCCCUAUCCACUCCUGAUGGUAGCAUUUAAAACUACCAUGGUUGCAACGGGUAACGUGGAAUGAGGGUUAGAUUCCGGAGAUGGUGUCUGAGCAACGGCUACCACAUCUAAGGAAGGCAGCAGGCGCAUAAAUUACCCAAUAAUAGGUCUGGGAUAG